UACGUAGGGGUGCAAGCGUUGUCCGGAAUUAUUGGGCGUAAAGAGCUCGUAGGCGGUCUGUCGCGUCGGCUGUGAAAACUCGGGGCUCAACCCCGAGCCUGCAGUCGAUACGGGCAGACUAGAGUGCGUGUAGGGGAGACUGGAAUUCCUGGUGUAGCGGUGAAAUGCGCAGAUAUCAGGAGGAACACCGGUGGCGAAGGCGGGGUCUCUGGGCAGUAACUGACGCUGGAGGAGCGAAAGCGUGGGGAGCGAACAGG
Molecule: ribosomal RNA, 257 nt
Filed under: uncultured bacterium
Lineage: Bacteria
Description: partial 16S ribosomal RNA
Rfam family: Bacterial small subunit ribosomal RNA
Source: RNAcentral